AUUUCAAAAAUAUGUAUUUCUUUCAUAAACCCAUCUCAAAUUCCAAUUUCUUCAACACUAAUUGACAAUUACAUAUUUCUUUGCCAUAAUUUAGUUAUAACCUCAGAUAAAUAUUCAUAAUCUUUAAUUCUUGUCAAACUUUAAACAUGAGUAAUUGUUUACAAACCUUAAAUUCAAGAAUUAUUUCCCAUAAAUACAUCUUUUACUUACCUGAAGAAAUUAAGGAAGAACUUUAAGGACCAUGUAGGUAUUGCCAUCAUUUUUUCUUCCUCUUCCUUCUUCUUCUUCUUCCUUUUCUUUCUUCUUUUCUUCUUCUAUUUUUCUCUUUCUUUUGCCGGUUUUUC
This 344-nucleotide long non-coding RNA is filed under the name Olea europaea subsp. europaea. Lineage: Eukaryota; Viridiplantae; Streptophyta; Magnoliopsida; Lamiales; Oleaceae. The record is from RNAcentral.